Raphanus sativus (radish) is the source of this 877-nucleotide long non-coding RNA. RefSeq lists it as uncharacterized. The transcript is spliced from 3 exons. Lineage: Eukaryota; Viridiplantae; Streptophyta; Magnoliopsida; Brassicales; Brassicaceae. The record is from RefSeq and is a predicted model, not a curated record.
GAAAUCACCGUGAGAGAGAUCUUUCUUGUAAGAGUUAAUGGGUAUCUCGUGAUUGGCACUUAUGUUUUGUACAGCCUGAUCCUCUAACCGAAGCCUUGGAAUCUGUAGUUUGUGAUAAUGAUACAGCUGGGGAAGUUACAAGCUUCAGAGCUUGACGCUGAGGUAUUAAAGAUCUGUUGUGACUGUGUGAGCAAACCAUUAUUAUACGGGUUUCGGAAAAACUUUCUUCUACAGUGGCCUGAUGUGGAGUCUCUGAUCAAGGAGCUAGAAAUGGUUGAAAGAAUCCAAUCAGUUUCAAAAAGGCGUUUCUUAUUGAGCCCAGGUUUACAUGGCGCCAAUGUUUGAGAACCAAUACAAACUGCUUGCUCGAGCUGGAAACAGAGAACAAGAGAGAAUUGUUGAAGCAAAGAAGAGAUGAAGUUUGAUGAAAUCUACAAUCAUGUCUUUGCACCAACAGAGCAGAAUGAGUGAUUCCACUGUUUUUGUUUUAUUCUUCAAAGUGGUAUCACCCAAAAGACUUUAAAAAAUAGGUGUACAAGAAUAACAUAUGAUUUCUAGUGUAAACUUUCAAUUUUUUAUGAUGCGAAAAGGUAGUACUGAAAGGAAAAUAUGAUACAGUUCUUGUGGAAGCAUAGAGAAACGUAAAAGCAAAAAGAGUUAUGAAUAUGCUCAAACAGAGAUGGACUGUUGUUUAUAAAUAUAAAGCAUAUAACAAAAUUUUAUAGGAGGGAGCUAUUACUGGCAGCCAGGUCUGUGUUAAGGAACUCACUUCUCCACUUUUUGGUAGCUCUGCGCAUGAGUAUCUGUACUACUAUCUAACCUAAACAUGUGAGAUGUUUGAAGCAAUCAGUUACAGUAACUACCAAAUAGAAUUAUG